UUGUGAUGAAAAUUCCAGCUGGCACCAGUCCGAGAUAGACUUGUACUCUUCUUGAUGCGGAUAAGCUGUUUGCGGGAGAUUUGCUAUCUCCUUAGUUUCUGAA
This 103-nucleotide small nucleolar RNA is filed under the name Xylona heveae TC161. Its description in RNAcentral is "A. fumigatus snoRNA Afu_190". It matches the Rfam family "A. fumigatus snoRNA Afu_190". The record is from Rfam by way of RNAcentral. Lineage: Eukaryota; Fungi; Ascomycota; Xylonomycetes; Xylonales; Xylonaceae.